UCCAUGCUAUUGAAAAAUAUAAACCACCACAUACUGAAGAAUAACAAUUAAAGUGUGACGCCCCCAAAAUAGGUAUACAACACCCAUUCUGAGUCGCCAAAAUACAUGGUAUAGAAAAGCAAACUACAACUUUGACAAUACAGAUGUCGUGUAGAAUACGACAAUACAACUGUGAGUUUGAAUACAAAUAUUGUCUUCUAGACAAUAUACACACCCAAAUAAGUCCUCAUUAAUUAUUCAUACACUAUUUUACAGAAAUAGUGAGGACAGCUAAAACAUCUUCCUAG
Molecule: long non-coding RNA, 287 nt
Filed under: Panax ginseng (ginseng)
Lineage: Eukaryota; Viridiplantae; Streptophyta; Magnoliopsida; Apiales; Araliaceae
Description: long non-coding RNA (PGIN_LNC009457)
Source: RNAcentral